This 73-nucleotide transfer RNA is filed under the name Stegodyphus mimosarum. It matches the Rfam family "tRNA". From Rfam's summary of the family: Transfer RNA (tRNA) molecules are approximately 80 nucleotides in length. Lineage: Eukaryota; Metazoa; Arthropoda; Arachnida; Araneae; Eresidae. The record is from Rfam by way of RNAcentral.
GCCUUCGUGGUGUAGUGGUCAGCACGCUCGGCGCGUAUUCGAGAGGUCCGUGGUUCGAAUCCCGGCGGAGGCA